UGGCCAGCACUGCCCGGUGGCUCCAGGCUCCUGACAGCAUUUUGUUAUUUGGAGUGAUCCUCCAGAGGCAGACGAACUGCUUGAGCUGCCAAAUUUCCCCCAGAAAGAAAGAAAAAAAAAAGAUGAUUUUGAAGCUUUUAGAAAAAGCAAAUAUUUUACUUUACAAAAUGCGAUCUUCUCUACAUUCUUCAAGGGAAGGGUGUGCAGAGAAGUCAGUGGAGGGAAAAGCUCUUCUCACAGAGCUCCGGGCUCCGCUCUGGAGAGGCGCUCAGGAGAUGCAGACACUUGUCAAUCACGGUUCCAGCGCGAUUCAGGGGAGAGAAGGCAGGUGGGGGGCAGGCUGCAGGUGGCCCGUAGCUCACCUCCCCCUCUAUCUUUGGGACAAGUCCCUGCCUGGCUCUGGGCGGCAGUGUUUCUGAAGCUUCUAGCCAAUCCUGAGCACUCCUGUGUCCACACCUGGAGUUCCAUCCCCCAGAAGCCCUGUGGAGGCACCUUCCCAGGAGGGCGGGUGUCCUCUGGAGUAAGCAGGUGUCCCUCCAUACUAAACAUAUUUACUGCAUGCCCACUGUUCGCUGUACAUACAGGUAUGUUCCUUGUGAAUUUCACCGCUUCUGUCUCUCCCACAGAUGGCGAACAUCUCACGGGACACGGCUAAUGUCUACUGAGCAUUUUACCCUGGUGGGGUGUGUGUGUGUUGGGGGGAGGCUGUUGUUUGCAUUCAUUAACUCAUUCGGCCUUCAAACCAGCCCUCUCAGGGAGAGAUUAUGAUCAUCCCAAUUUUACUGAGAAGGAGCAGAGGCCCAGCGAGGUUCAGAAACUUGCCUGAGGACACACAGCGAGGAAGCAUCAGAGCCCACGCUGACACAGACAGCCCACCUCCCGGGCCUACUCUGUCUCAUGCUGUGCUGUCUCCUGAAAGCUCCUUGCUGAUUAGUGGGGAUGAGGUGGCUCCCAUUUUAAUCCGGGAGCAUCAGUGCAGGAGGCCCUUCUUAUUAUCUCACUGUUCCCCAUGCUGCAUGGAGAAAUGAGGAGUUCCUCCCAUUUCACAGAUCGGGUCCUCAGGGGUGAGUGGGGAGCCACACGUUCAGCCCCGGGCCGUGCUGCCCUUUGGUGAGGACACCGUCUCUGGCAGGGUCUGAGCUUUCAAGCUCCCCCGGACAGGGUGCGGCCACAUCACCUGUGCGGUGUCUGCAGCGCUGCCCGCCACCGGGCCUCGGACCCACACAUGGGCAGCACGCUGAGUCGUUGCCACAGGCCUGGGGGUGGCCACUCCUGGGGUGAACAUUCCCUUGGGUGGCAGGCAACAGGCCUGGCCCGGCUCUCUUUUCUGUUUCUGCCUCUCCAUCCUCUGUAAGCCCAGGGAGAAGAGGCUUCCUCCUUGUGCAGUG
Molecule: long non-coding RNA, 1388 nt
Filed under: Homo sapiens (human)
Lineage: Eukaryota; Metazoa; Chordata; Mammalia; Primates; Hominidae
Description: HSALNT0068297
Source: RNAcentral